This 643-nucleotide ribosomal RNA is filed under the name uncultured bacterium. RNAcentral describes it as "bacterial SSU rRNA". It matches the Rfam family "Bacterial small subunit ribosomal RNA", at positions 232 to 885 of the family's 1533-position model. The record is from RNAcentral.
CGCGGCCUAUCAGCUUGUUGGUGGGGUGAUGGCCUACCAAGGCGACGACGGGUAGCCGGCCUGAGAGGGUGAUCGGCCACAUUGGGACUGAGAUACGGCCCAGACUCCUACGGGAGGCAGCAGUGGGGAAUAUUGCACAAUGGGCGGAAGCCUGAUGCAGCGACGCCGCGUGAGGGAUGACGGCCUUCGGGUUGUAAACCUCUUUCAGCAGGGACGAAGCGUAAGUGACGGUACCUGCAGAAGAAGCACCGGCUAACUACGUGCCAGCAGCCGCGGUAAUACGUAGGGUGCGAGCGUCGUCCGGAAUUACUGGGCGUAAAGAGCUCGUAGGCGGUUUGUCACGUCGUCUGUGAAAUCCUAGGGCUUAACCCUGGACGUGCAGGCGAUACGGGCUGACUUGAGUACUACGGGGGAGACUGGAAUUUCUGGUGUAGCGGUGGAAUGCACAGAUAUCAGGAAGAACACCGAUGGCGAAGGCAGGUCUCUGGGUAGUAACUGACGCUGAGGAGCGAAAGCAUGGGUAGCGAACAGGAUUAGAUACCCUGGUAGUCCAUGCCGUAAACGGUGGGCGCUAGGUGUGGGGUUCCUUCCACGGGCUCCGCGCCGUAGCUAACGCAUUAAGCGCCCCGCCUGGGGAGUACGG